AGUUUGAUCCUGGCUCAGGACGAACGCUGGCGGCGUGCUUAACACAUGCAAGUCGAACGGUGAUGUCAGAGCUUGCUCUGGCGGAUCAGUGGCGAACGGGUGAGUAACACGUGAGUAACCUGCCCCCGACUCUGGGAUAACUGCUAGAAAUGGUAGCUAAUACCGGAUAUGACGAUUGGCCGCAUGGUCUGGUCGUGGAAAGAAUUUCGGUUGGGGAUGGACUCGCGGCCUAUCAGGUUGUUGGUGAGGUAAUGGCUCACCAAGCCUACGACGGGUAGCCGGCCUGAGAGGGUGACCGGCCACACUGGGACUGAGACACGGCCCAGACUCCUACGGGAGGCAGCAGUGGGGAAUAUUGCACAAUGGGCGCAAGCCUGAUGCAGCAACGCCGCGUGAGGGAUGACGGCCUUCGGGUUGUAAACCUCUUUUAGUAGGGAAGAAGCGAAAGU
RNAcentral lists this ribosomal RNA (449 nucleotides) under Clavibacter michiganensis subsp. insidiosus. Its description in RNAcentral is "bacterial SSU rRNA". It matches the Rfam family "Bacterial small subunit ribosomal RNA", at positions 10 to 457 of the family's 1533-position model. The record is from RNAcentral. Lineage: Bacteria; Bacillati; Actinomycetota; Actinomycetes; Micrococcales; Microbacteriaceae.